This 281-nucleotide long non-coding RNA is filed under the name Marmota monax (woodchuck). The record is from RNAcentral. Lineage: Eukaryota; Metazoa; Chordata; Mammalia; Rodentia; Sciuridae.
GGUUCCUGACCUGAUCACUGUGGUCUGAGUGAGUGUGCAUCUGCCAGACUUAAGGCCUAAGGCUCAAGACUUUAGAUCAGCCACUUAAGCUUAGCAUGCAGAGGGAAUGACUAUAAUGAGUCUGUCAUGAUUAAGUGUGUUUGCAGUGCUUAGAAUUAACUUAGAAUUGUUUGUUUUGAAUUCAUUAUGUCUAUUGCAGUGCCCAGCAUUAAGGAUUGUCAUUUUCUUGAUGAAGAACCUAUAGUGAAAUUGUAUUGCCUGAUUGAGUGAAUAAAGCAUUG